CCUACGGGAGGCAGCAGUGAGGAAUAUUGGUCAAUGGGCGGGAGCCUGAACCAGCCAAGUCGCGUGAGGGAAGACGGCCCUAUGGAUUGUAAACCUCUUUAGCCGGGGAGCAAAGCCGGGCACGCGUGCCCUGUGGGAGAGCCCCCGCAGAAUAAGUAUCGGCUAACUCCGUCCCAGCAGCCGCGGUAAUACGGAGGACGCGAGCGUUAUCCGGAUUUAUUGGGUUAAAAGGGUGCGCAGGCGGAAUUUCAAGUAAGCGGUAAAAUUUCGGGGCUCAACCCCGUCGUGCCGUUGAAACUGGCGUUCUUGAGUGUGCGAGAAGUAUGCGGAAUGCGUGGUGUAGCGGUGAAAUGCAUAGAUAUCACGCAGAACUCCGAUUGCGAAGGCAGCAUACCGGCGCUCAACUGACGCUCAUGCACGAAAGCGUGGGUAUCGAACAGGAUUAGAUACCCGAGUAGUC
RNAcentral lists this ribosomal RNA (460 nucleotides) under uncultured bacterium. RNAcentral describes it as "partial 16S ribosomal RNA". It matches the Rfam family "Bacterial small subunit ribosomal RNA", at positions 338 to 795 of the family's 1533-position model. The record is from RNAcentral.